Molecule: long non-coding RNA, 5684 nt
Organism: Sarcophilus harrisii (Tasmanian devil)
Lineage: Eukaryota; Metazoa; Chordata; Mammalia; Dasyuromorphia; Dasyuridae
Source: Ensembl
GAGGACUCCAGCAUCCUUCAUUUGAAUGAAAGCCUUACAAAUAGUCUAACAUCACCGCCGAUCUCAGCAGUUCUCUCUCUCUCUCUUUCUCUUUCGGUCGUUGCGUUUUGGUGAAACUUUCGCAGCUAUGCCUGAGCCCGCCAAGUCCGCUCCUGCCCCGAAGAAGGGUUCCAAAAAGGCCGUCACCAAGUACACCAGCUCCAAGUAAAAUGGAGAUCUCCGGGGGUGCCUGAAGGCCAGGCCCCUCAACCUACACAACGGCUCUUUUAAGAGCCACCCACUUCUCUCAACGGGAGAGCUGACGCGCCAAACUAAAUGCCUGUUGUCUGCCGCUUCUCUAAAUGCGGGCGGGGGCGGAAGGGGAAGGGAAAGGUGGGAAACUGCCCAACUGCCGGACGCCAGCUCGGGCUGCGGGUCCGGGCUCCUGGGACUUCUUCCUUUUGGUCACCACCUCAGUAGUCGGGCACCCAUGCUUCGGGCUCUCGAGCCAUGGGUGCUUUCUCCAAUUGCACGCCCUUCUCCCGCCCUGGGUGCCACGGAGCAGCCGCACCAAGUCUUAUUUGCUCUUUGCUCUUCACAGAAGAGACCGCGGCUAGCGAACCGUCCACAGAUGGACCGGCUCGCAUUGCUGCCGGCUUAAUAGUCUGACAAGUCGACCUCCCUGCGCUUCCAGUGGAAAUCCAUGUGUGCCCAUGGCUGUGCCGGGGAGAGACUCGGACACCUCGCUCCGUCUCGAUUACGGUAGCAUUUACCUGCGAAAUUCUGCGCUACUACUCCCUUGCUUGGGACUUGGCAACUCGCAACCCAAAUGCAAUCUCUCGGAGCUUCGGGGAGGCUGCAAGAUGCCAGGGCUGCGGAAAGGACAGGCUGGACAAAACCGAAGCUGAUGGUCAGCUCGGGCUACUGCUGUUACUCAGUUCUAUCACAGUCUGCACGGUUUUGUGUUUUUGGGGUUUUUUGGUAUGCGUGAUUACGCAAACGAUUGUUUACUAGGAGCUGGUCCCCUAACCUCCCUCUCCUCCACCCUCCACCCAGCUGGUUGGAGGGGCUGCGGAGUGGGAAAAGAUGCUCUUUUCUGGUUUAAUGGAAAAGGACAUUGAGAGAAUUUUUAAGGCGGCAAAACCAACCCACUGUGCCCUUUUGCACCUUCCUUAUAACCAUUCCACUGGGCCGGUUGGAACAGAGUUCAUCAAGACUCAAAUAUCAGAAACAUUUUCGAGUUGGAAGCUGGGGAUGGAGGCGGAGGGAGAGGGCAAUUGUUUUCAGGGGAUUAUGAUCAGGACAACCUUCCAGUGGCACUUGAGCUAAACUUGAAUAAGGCUACUAAAGAGGGGGAAAGGGCUUAAGACCGUGUAUUCUAGGAUGGCGGAGUCUCAAACAGCAUGACAUUUUGCUUGCAGUGCACUGUACAUGAGGGACACUAGUAUUCCUAGUGGAUAUAUCUAGAAUGAUUGGUUGGAGAUAGAUCUAUUAAGGCCUUUAAAUUAUCAGUAGAAAUCUUGAGGUUCGAUGAUACAGCAGUCACCUUCAGGAGCCAACAUCUUGCUUACCCUAGAGUUGCAACUCCAGAAUAGAAUAUUCAUACUCUUGUCACGCUAGAGCUCCUAGACACCUCUGAGUUCAUCUAAGCCAAUCCUCACCCUUAAGUUACUUGCAUUAGGCCAGAGAGGCAGAAUUUGAAGCAUUAAUCCAGUGAUUGUCCAGUCAAUACCCCAUCACUACCAUCUAAAUUUUGUAACUAGCAGAUGGGACAGUAAAACUAAAUGUCCAGCUAAGUUUCCAUAAAUUCUGUCAUAAUCAGUAAUCAUAUAAUGUAUCACAUAAGUAAUUUCCGUAUGGUAUAUGAAAUCUUGAAGUCAUCUAGUUUGUGUGUGUGUGUGUGUGUGUGUGUGCCCAGCCUUCACACAUGUGGAUGCAUACUUGUGACGGGCUUAACCCUGAAACUAGGUUUGGGGUCUCCGACUCUCCCAUGGGAAAAAGCAUACUUUCCCAGACAAGACCUUCUCAAGUUAAGCUGUGUCAUUCAAUUGGAGAUCUUGGUCAAAUCACCCUCCAUUGAUCUUUUGGGCCUUUAAAUUAUCAGUAGAAAUCUUGAGGUUCGAUGAUAAAGGAUUUCCUGGAUCCUCUUCAGGAAAUUCCAGCCUCGGGGAAAAAAUUUUCAAAAUUAUUUCAUUCAAUUGGAGAUCUUGGUCUGAUAAUCAGCUCAAACUGCACCCCCCAUCCCCCAGACCAAGAUUUAUGCAUAAAACAGGGGUCUGCAAACACACCCUUUGCAAAAUUCCUCAUUAGAAAUUUAUCCAUUAAGACAGCUUCUUAGUGAACAAGAAAAAUCCUUUUUUUGCCACAGAUUUCAGGGUUUGCGGAUUCUUUCACCUUUAGAUCUGCUUCUCUGAGCAGAUCUCCCCCAUUUCCACACUUCAAUAUUAGAAAUGGAGUUUGUGCUUUGUUUUUCUGUAAAACAAUUUCCUAAUUACUCCUCUUUCUGGCUAGAAUUUAUAGGAUCUAUAUAUAUAGACAUUAUAAGGGUCACAUUAUUCCAACAUUUACUAAUAGCUUCUAUGAGAGAGGAGAGCUGACAAGGUGUGGUAAGAUCUAUUCAAGGCAAGCAAUACAUUACCUCCCUCACUACCCAUCCCCACCCCAAUCUGAAAAUGUGUAGUCAUUAGUAAAUGACUCUUUGGCCUAUUUAUCUGUCUGUUACUAGAUGUAUAUGUUUAUAUAGAAUAUGGUCCUUUAAUGCUUCAAAAGGAUGUAAGAAUUUGAUGCAGCUGUUUGUGGAACCCAGCUGUUAUUUUAUUGAUUCUUGAAAUUAAAUCUCAAACAUCUUCAGUGUAAGUUUGGAGAAGAAAAUUUUAGUGUGAAUAGUUUUCUUAGAUGGAUGCAACUUAUGGAAUAUUUUGUGUUAUGUCAAGGGGAAAUUCAACCUUAUUUAAGUUUUUUUCUAAUAUGGCAAUAACAUGUUUGUCCCAUGUGUCCUGUGGCACAAACAUAAUUUCUUAUUUAAAAAACAAACAAAACUAAUUUGUUAUGUACAGGCCAAGCUAUACAAAAUUGACUUGUUGAUGCAGCCACAAUAGAGGCUGUUGGCCUAUCUACUACACUGGCCUUCUUACUCCUCUCUGCCCUUCCCCCUGCCCUACCCCCAAUCAGAGACAUCUUCAAGUACAUAGAGAAAGCAUUUAUUUUGUUCUGGCAAGAAGAGGCCCAGGUACACCUAGGAGCCAUCCCAACCCCUGCCAUGUGCUCCUGGAACAUGGUGAACCUCAACUUUGUCCAGGACUUAGAAGCUAAAGACGCAAGCCUUCUCAAUGGAUAGACUAAAAGGACAUAAACCAUCCUUGACCAAUGUUGUCUGCUUCCUGUGGGUCACAUCACUUCCCUGUGAGCGUGAGUUCUUGAGGAUUUGACCUUUAGAGAUCCCUGUAGAAUGUUUCCAGUACUUCUGUUCUGUGAUUUAAAAUUUGUUAGGGAAAAACAAAGAAAAAAGCUUGACUUUUCUAUAGGUUCAAGCUCUGUUUGGCCAAAGUUGGAACUUCAGGAAAAGUUUGUUUGAGAAUAAUGAUCAGUAAAUUUAGCAAUUGGUCAUUUCAAGAUUCCAAAGCAAUUCAAUUAAAUUGGGGCCUUCAUGGAGUAGGCAUAAAGAUGGUCUUUCCCUUCCGAGUUCCCUGACUGCAGCAGGAACACGUGGGGCUAGAGGGAGAGAAAGAAAUUAUGUUUAAUCACUUCAGUGAAAUUUGUUAUUUGAGAUAUAGUGAAGCAGGUUGGGGUCCCUUUAAGAAAUUGUAUUUGCUAUUGAUCUGUGAUUCCUUUCAGAUUCCCAGCCCCUCCUGGCUGAGGCAUAUCCUCCCCACACAAGCUGUCUUUCCAGGAUUCCAGAGCCUUUGAUUCAAUUACAAAUCCUGGCCAAAAAGCAUCCCUUUGAAUUCCAAUAGGAGAUACAGGCUUGUCCCAGCCCCCAUUCUGACUUGCUUGGGCCGCCCAGCCCCUACUGGUUCUGAUCUGCUCAAGCUGUCCCAACCCCCACCAAGGCACCCAAUAUAAUAGCUUCCAUAAAUGAAGCUAGCUCACUCAAAUGCCAGGACUUUUUGUCCACUGAGAGCUACAUUCUCAGUGCAAAACUCCAUUUCCAUAGCUUUGCCACUAUGGAAGUCAGUCUCUGGGUACAUUGAUUUCUAUCUUACAAUAAACUUUCAUUUGGCAACUAACAUUUGAGAAUGAGUGAAUUCUUUCACUCCUAAAAUCUGCAGCCGAUUUAAAGGGGAUUCUUAAUAACUCUCUUAUAACCACUAACCCCUAGACCACCAGGAAUCUAGACCACUCUAAACCUCAUCAUAUUUAUGAUUCCCUGAUGGACAGGGAAUCCUGAAUAUCUGGACACUAAAAACUAAUUUGGGUUUUGAGCUGUUGGUGCAGUAUUCUUCCAGGAAUACUCUGUUCUCCAACAAAAAGCCUUCUUUUGUCUCACUCUAUCUCUAAAGGUAGUGGGCAACCAGACCUGGUCUGGGCUGUGGGCCGUAUUCUUGGGGGAAGAGAAUCUGCAUUUUCAGGCAAAAAGCCUCCUUUUUGUCACAUCAUUUUUAGAGAUAGUGGGACCAGGAUAUCUGGAACUCUAGGACAAAGUAAAAGAUAUUUUUUUUCUUUCCCUAUUCUGUAGUGGACACCCAAGCCACCCAGGUCAGGCUUGGGUCAUUGUUAGAGCUCUAUGCUGGUGCACAAUUCUUUACAAAUUGCUGUGUGUUAUGAGUCACUUGAAACAAGGUGAUAACUCACUGGAAUUAGUAGAAACAAUACUUGAGUUUAUACCUUUGAGAAUUCACACAUUGGCUCACACAUUGGAGUUCACAAGUAGGGAAGAUACACAAAACUUUGUAACUUUGUGAAUUCACACCUCCCAUAAUCCCACUCUCAGAGAGAAGUCAACCUUUGGGUUCACACCUUUUAGAGAUCAUAUAUAAGAAGCUCUUAGAGCUUCAGUCACUCAGUCAGUCAGUGGAGGAGAUUGAGUUAGAGAUGAAAAGAUUGAGAGGGGAGCGUCAGUUGGAGAUUGAGAAGCCACGAGUCAGAGUUGAGCUAGAGGUAGAUGCUGGAAGAGCUAAAAGACAAGCUGCAAGAGCUCUUGGAACCAAGGAGGGAGAGAGACCUCUAAGAAAGCUAACUGGGCCCAAGGAAAAAGACAAGACUUGGAAGGAGAAAAUAAAUGUUUGGAUUUUAUCAGCUGGCUGCAUUUGAAGUGAUUAUUACUUAGAACUGAAACUAAGGCUGCCUCCAGAAAACCUCCCCAAGAAACCUGCUCCCAGAGAACCAUCAUAUUAUACAAAAGAAAAACACCACAGCUGUGGACUGACAAAAGACCUCCUUUUGUCUCACUAUCUCUAGAGACCUACAUGAGAGAUGCUGCAAGAAUUUGGGGAAACUAAAAUUUUUACUUCUCAGCAAUGUAGAAAAACGUCUGCCUCUGAAAAUCCUUCCUUGAGGAAAGUCCCUCUGUCCAGCUCUUCCAGGGACAAAGGGCCUUCCUUUGCAUCUGAAGCUCUCACCAGAAAGCCCUGCCUUCAGGGAGGAACUCCGAGUCCAGAGACGAAGCAUCUCUUUAGCCCCCACCUCCACCCCCCAAGACCAAGGGAACACAUGGGGCCCUCUCGGGGGUCCCAGGCCAGCACUCUCUUUGAUCUGUCUUGGGGAGA